CCUACGGGGGGCAGCAGUGGGGAAUAUUGGACAAUGGGGGGAACCCUGAUCCAGCCAUGCCGCGUGUGUGAAGAAGGCCCUCGGGUUGUAAAGCACUUUCAGUGAGGAAGAACGCCUGGUGGUUAAUACCCAUCAGGAAAGACAUCACUCACAGAAGAAGCACCGGCUAACUCCGUGCCAGCAGCCGCGGUAAUACGGAGGGUGCGAGCGUUAAUCGGAAUUACUGGGCGUAAAGCGCGCGUAGGUGGCUUGAUAAGCCGGUUGUGAAAGCCCCGGGCUCAACCUGGGAACGGCAUCCGGAACUGUGAAGCUAGAGUGCAGGAGAGGAAGGUAGAAGUCCCGGUGUAGCGGUGAAAUGCGUAGAGAUCGGGAGGAAUACCAGUGGCGAAGGCGGCCUUCUGGACUGACACUGACACUGAGGUGCGAAAGCGUGGGUAGCAAACAGGAUUAGAUACCCCAGUAGUC
Molecule: ribosomal RNA, 465 nt
Filed under: Vreelandella stevensii
Lineage: Bacteria; Pseudomonadati; Pseudomonadota; Gammaproteobacteria; Oceanospirillales; Halomonadaceae
Description: partial 16S ribosomal RNA
Rfam family: Bacterial small subunit ribosomal RNA
Source: RNAcentral